GCGUGGGCGGCUUACCAUGCAGUCGAGGGGUAACAUUAGUGCUUGCACUAGAUGACGACCGGCGCACGGGUGCGUAACGCGUAUAGAACCUACCUUUUACAGAGGGAUAGCCUUUAGAAAUGAAGAUUAAUACCUCAUGGCACUUUAGAUUGGCAUCAAUUUAGAGUUAAAGAUUUAUCGGUAAAAGAUGGCUAUGCGUCCUAUUAGCUAGAUGGUAAGGUAACGGCUUACCAUGGCAACGAUAGGUAGGGGUCCUGAGAGGGAGAUCCCCCACACUGGUACUGAGACACGGACCAGACUCCUACGGGAGGCAGCAGUGAGGAAUAUUGGGCAAUGGAGGCAACUCUGACCCAGCCAUGCCGCGUGCAGGAAGACGGCCCUAUGGGUUGUAAACUGCUUUUAUACAGGAAGAAACAGUCCCACGAGUUGGGAUCUUGACGGUACUGUAAGAAUAAGCACCGGCUAACUCCGUGCCAGCAGCCGCGGUAAUACGGAGGGUGCAAGCGUUAUCCGGAAUCAUUGGGUUUAAAGGGUCCGUAGGCGGUCUAUUAAGUCAGAGGUGAAAUCCCAUAGCUCAACUAUGGAACUGCCUUUGAUACUGGUAGACUUGAGUUACAGUGAAGUAGAUAGAAUGUGUAGUGUAGCGGUGAAAUGCAUAGAGAUUACACAGAAUACCGAUUGCGAAGGCAGUCUACUAAACUUGUAUACUGACGCCUGAUGGACGAAAGCGUGGGGAGCGGAACAGGAUUAAGAUACCCCUGGGUAGUCCAACGCCCGUAAAACGAUGGAUUACUAGUUUGUUGGAAUUAUUUCAGUGGACUAAGCGGAAGGUGAUAAGUAUCCCCACUCGCGAAGUACGGUCCGCAAGAACUAAAACUCAAAGGAAUGACCGCGGCUCGC
This 900-nucleotide ribosomal RNA is filed under the name CFB group bacterium epibiont of Rimicaris exoculata. RNAcentral describes it as "bacterial SSU rRNA". It matches the Rfam family "Bacterial small subunit ribosomal RNA", at positions 39 to 924 of the family's 1533-position model. The record is from RNAcentral. Lineage: Bacteria; Pseudomonadati.